UACGGUCAUAGCACAUUGAAACACUUGUUUCCGUACGAUCACUGUGGUUAAGCAACGUUGAACGUGGUCAGUACUUAUAUGGGUAACAGCUUGAGAAUGCCAAGUGAUGUU
This is a non-coding RNA of Acanthosepion pharaonis, 111 nucleotides long. The record is from the annotation of a GenBank genome assembly. NCBI's taxonomy places the organism in Eukaryota, Metazoa, Mollusca, Cephalopoda, Sepiida, Sepiidae.